GAAUCACCUUUGGCAGCGAUUACAACUGUGAGUCUUUCUGGGACCAAGGACUGUCCAAGCCCCCAUGAGGUAUCCUAUCCACCAGAACCAAUGAGUUCGGAUCAGUCUGAUUGUCUGUGCUCCGAGUCGGAGGGGGACCAUCUUGAGGACCUAGGGGUUCAGCCCAACACACAUGGAUCCACCUGAUGUCCUCCAUUACCAACCACCCUCCAACUUUUCAUUACAUCAUCUACAGCUACUGUUGUUGUCAUGUUGUCAUUAUCUGCAAAUAUAUAUUUUUUGCUCUAUCAUACUGGGCACAUAACAUGUGAGAUACACAGAUUAACUCAGAACAAAGAGAGCAGCAGUGCCUGGACUUUUCAGUCUCCCUCUUCAAGUCCCCCUUCCGAGACUGGCUGGCUGUUGAGAACAAGUGACAGGCAGAACCUCCCACCCACACAGCAACCACCUUCUAUAUUCCACACACCAGAAUUCAGUAUUUUACUCUAUGAUUGCCAUGUGUGUACAAAAAAUCUGUGAAAAUAAAUUAAUGACACAACUGUA
Salmo salar (Atlantic salmon) is the source of this 543-nucleotide non-coding RNA. NCBI's taxonomy places the organism in Eukaryota, Metazoa, Chordata, Actinopteri, Salmoniformes, Salmonidae. The record is from RefSeq and is a predicted model, not a curated record.